UUAAAGGCACACUAAACCCAUUAUAAAAACUACCCUGCACUAUUUACAUACACGGAUUGCAGUAUAAACAAAUAUUACAUUUUAUAUAUAAAAUGAAUAGCAUAUAAUAGGUAUGUAUAGGAGUUUGAUAGCAUAUGAAUGGUUUUGAUGGCAUACAAGUAGCAUAUAAUGGGCAUGUGGAGAGAUCUAAUUAAAUAUAAGGGUCAUAUGGAGGAGUGUGAUGGUAUAUAAGUGGCAUCUGGAAGGGUCUGAAGGCAUAUAAAAGGCAUGUGGAGGGAUCUGAUGACAUAUAAGGGGAUUCUGGAGGUGUCCAAUGGCAAAUAAGAGGCAUUUGGAGGGCUCUGAAUCUCACUAACAUUCCACCGCUUCCAUGAAAUCAGAACCUAUUACAUAACCCCCAUGUACUUGUAAACUCCAACUAUUUGCUCACAGAAUUACAGAUUUAUUAUUAUUAUUAUUAUUAUUAUUAUUAUUAUUAUUAUUAAUAAUAUGGUUUUAACAAAGUUUCUUUAUUUAUUGUAGAGUCUGGAACAGGAGUCGGGCUUUCAGUUCCAGUGCACAUGUAGGAGAAAGUAGGCUCACGCUUGUGCCGAUGGCCAACUUAGUGUCCUGGCAGCAGUAAGCUUCCCCCAUUUAUAUACCGGCUGUAUCAGCGGCACUGUAUGAAAUUACAAUUGUGCUAUUAGAUUGACCAGCAAGUAAAAGUGAAGAAGACAACCUGGAGACUAUGCAGAGAGCAGCAACACAAGUGAAAGUGGAGAAGACAACCUGGAGACUAUGCAGAGAGCAGGAACACAAGUGAAAGUGGAGAAGACCUCCUGGAGACUAUGCAGAGAGCAUGAACACAAGUGAAAGUGGAGAAGACCUCCUGGAGACUAUGCAGAGAGCAGGAACACAAGUGAAAGUGGAGAAGACCUCCUGGAGACUAUGCAGAGAGCAGGAACACAAGUGAAAGUGGAGAAGACCUCCUGGAACCGAUUGUAACAGGGUUAGGGAAACAUGUACCAUCUCCUGGGGUAGAUGGUAGUGCACUGCAGCCGAGAGAUCACACUCCAAGGUUUCUGGUGUAACUGGCCUCAACCAGUUUUAGUAAGCAGAAAAAUAAAUCAUCAAACACCUUGCCGUCUGGCACUAACUACACAUAAAUCACUCCUGGCUAACACUACAACACUCUAAGUAACAAAGCACCAAGUGUAGCUCACUUGUAUCCAGUAGCAGGUUUUCUUUUACAGAGACUCUGGGGGCUCUUUUCCCCAGGCACUCAGAAAGGGUUGGGUUUGAUUUGACAGCGGUCGCGAUGCCGGCGGUCAGAAUACCGGCGGCGGCAUCCUGAUGUUCGGAACCCUAUACUUUUCUUCCCCACCCUGGUCCCCUAACUCACCAUCCCUCCAACCUAAACCUACCCCCCUGCCCCCGCUAUGGCCUAAACGUAACCCUCGGUGGUGGUACCCAACCCUAACCUCCCCUCCCCACAGCCUAACACUGAUCCUCCAACCACUAACCCCCUGCCCCCGCAGCCUAAACCUAACCCCCCCCCCGGGCACAGCCUAACCCUAACCUCCCCAUGCCCCCGCGACUCUUACCUCUCCAGUGCAGCAGUGUUCUCAUUCGGCAUACCGGCUGUUGGGAUUCUGGCGCCGGGAUCAGUGGCAUAACUAGGGGCCCGCAGCCCCUGCGAGCGCUUGGAGGCGCACCCUAGCCG
Pseudophryne corroboree (corroboree frog) is the source of this 1702-nucleotide long non-coding RNA. RefSeq lists it as uncharacterized. The record is from RefSeq and is a predicted model, not a curated record. NCBI's taxonomy places the organism in Eukaryota, Metazoa, Chordata, Amphibia, Anura, Myobatrachidae. The transcript is spliced from 3 exons.